Molecule: long non-coding RNA, 2423 nt
Filed under: Haliotis rufescens (red abalone)
Lineage: Eukaryota; Metazoa; Mollusca; Gastropoda; Lepetellida; Haliotidae
Description: uncharacterized LOC124140162
Source: RNAcentral
UAUGUUGUAAUUACAAAACAGCCGUUAUUCAAAAUACUUAUAUGUAUCAUUCAUUGCUUUUGAACUACGUCUCAGAGUCUGUCCAAUUUGAAUGUGUUUUAGUGCAACUUGCCCAGUCGGGGUGUGCUCCUCAAAUGGAAAUACAUCAAGCAUUGCUGCGUUCAAUGGAUUUGACAGACACCUCGAAUAUUUUUCUUCUUUUUGAAGACAUCUUAGAUGAAGAUGUCAACCACCUGUCAUCUGCUGUCAGUAUCCGAGGCUUCACUUCCAUGAGGUUUUACCUAAAUGAUAGUGCAAAUCACCUGGAAAGCAUUAUGAGGACGUCAAUCAAUACAAAUAACCUGGAUAGCUUUCGAGAUUUGUUUAACUUCAUCGUUAUAUGCAAAUCAGACUGUGUUCAACAGAUAAUAGAUAAGGUAUGUAUUUAUGGUGUCUAAUUAGUACUGUGAAUAUUCUUAUCCGAGAUUCCGUAUGCAUUAUGUAGGGGAGACCGGGGCACAUUGGAACACCCUGUGUAUUGCAAUUGGGAUAUUGUUUUGCAUUGGAACACCCUGUGUAUUGCAAUUGGGAUAGUGCAAUCACAUGACCCUUCCCCGUAGGCGUCGUGACAUGUUCCCUGCCAAGUUUGAAGCAGAAACAGAAAUCUUAAUCUUGGUGAGUAAAAUUUGCUUUUUGCACUUGUAUGUAAAAUUGAGACAUCCAACUCUAAACUCCUUUAUGAAAAGACAGGUGCACAUUCACUUGAUUUAAUACUUUUGUGAAAAUACAUGAUUAUUGAGGAUGUUCUUCUCGCCACAUGGUUAUUUGAUUCAGAAAUUGUAAGAAUGCAUGGGUAUGUGUAGCGUACAAUGGGACAUGAAAAACGGGGUGUUACAGCGAUCAGCAUGUCCGUCCGCCCGUGUGCCCUCCGUCCAUUUUCUCUUUCCGGAGCAGAACUCCUACGCCGUUGAAUAUGUCUUGAUGAAACUUGCUAUACAGAUCAGUCAAGUGGUGAAUUAGUGCCUUUCGAUGAUUUUGGAUUUCUAUUUGUAAUUUUUUUAUUUGCUUUCAUGACUACAUGUCGGACUUUAUUGAAAAUGAGGGAAGUGCUCGUUUCUAGCGCAGAACCCCCAAACCGUUGAAUAUGUCUUGAUGAAACGUGCUAUACAGAUCAGUCUAAUGAUGAACUUGUGCCUUCUGAGAAUUUGGGAUGUUUAUUGUUUAAUGGUUUUUUAAAAUUUCUUUAUGACGACAAGUUAGACCUUUACUGAAAAUAAGGGUGGUGCGCAUUUCUGGAGCAGAACCCCAAAGUGUAGAAUUUUUCUUGAUGAAACUUGAUAAAAGAUCUGUCUAGUGGUGAACUGGUGCAUAUUGAGGUUUUGGAGAUAUUGAAAAAUACUCAACAGCAUAUUCCAUUACCUUUGUCUUCACUGACAUGAAUGUACCCCAUGGCAAUGAACCAAACGUUUGGUAUAAGUAGCCAUACACUAUUUCGGAAUUUACCAGAUCGGGGGUUAACAUUAAUCUGAUAUCAAGGACAGUGUAUGUAGUUUGGUCGCUGAACUGAAUACGAUACAGGGCAUGGUUUGAAAUAAAAAUAUGUAUAUAUGUUGUUAUUGGUGAUUCGACAUUACGACAAACGGGAUAUCUUUUGUCUGUCAAAAUAUGAUUGAUUUCAUAGGGGUGAAAAGUUAAAAUCCUCAAAUGUAACAAAAAAUCUAGUCUUGCAUUCUGUUGCCUACAGUCCAAUAAGUGAUUGUCCUAAACUGCCCAAACAAGUAUUCUAAUGCACCUGGACAAAGGGUGGACUGUGACAAAGAAAAUUCAAUUGAUAAUAUCUAAGAUUGUCUAAUGUUGUUGCAAAGUUCUCUUGCUCCAAUGUUUGUCGUUAGAGGCUCUAGUGAUAUGAUGUGUUGUUUUGUUUCUGUACCCAUUGCAACAGAAGAUAUGGAACAAAACAUAGUGUUGUCUCAAUGUGGCCCAAUCUCUCCUAUGUAUUUAUUUUCAUGGCUUUGAUAAAUGAAAUUUAAGUAUAAAUAUAUGGAUAGAGAUGACAAUGGCGAUAACACCAUACGUGGAUGUUCACAUAAAACUAAGAACUGACCUAUUUUAGGUGACAUACCUAGACAAGGAAUUUGGUAGAAGAUCACUACUGCGUCACUUUUCAAAGUGGAUGUUCAUAUGCAAGCACCACGAUGCAUCCUUAAUGGUUCCUGAGACGACACUGGACAAUGUGGCAGUUGUUCACGCUGAAGAACCUGGUCAGGGAUGUCGUGAACCAUCGUCAAAGACCUGUUUCACUAUUAAGACUUUAAUGUGGGAUACGAAAGGGCGGAACUUAAAGAAGGUUUACGAUCGGUGUCCUGCUGAGGGGGUAGAAUGCAGUUUUGACAGGAUGUUCCCCAACACUAGAUACGGGCUUAAUGGAAGGAACCUAACGAUUG